UACGGGGGGAGCAAGCGUUGUUCGGAUUUACUGGGCGUAAAGGGCGCGUAGGCGGCGUGACAAGUCACUUGUGAAAUCUCCGGGCUUAACUCGGAACGGUCAAGUGAUACUGUCGUGCUAGAGUACAGAAGGGGCAACUGGAAUUCUCGGUGUAGCGGUGAAAUGCGUAGAUAUCAGGAAGAACACCCGUGGCUAAGGCGGCUCUCUAGUACGGUACUGACGCUGAGACGCGAAAGCGUGGGGAGCGAACAGG
RNAcentral lists this ribosomal RNA (253 nucleotides) under uncultured bacterium. RNAcentral describes it as "partial 16S ribosomal RNA". It matches the Rfam family "Bacterial small subunit ribosomal RNA", at positions 524 to 776 of the family's 1533-position model. The record is from RNAcentral.